RNAcentral lists this ribosomal RNA (862 nucleotides) under uncultured Actinomycetes bacterium. RNAcentral describes it as "bacterial SSU rRNA". It matches the Rfam family "Bacterial small subunit ribosomal RNA", at positions 28 to 897 of the family's 1533-position model. Lineage: Bacteria; Bacillati; Actinomycetota; Actinomycetes. The record is from RNAcentral.
GACGAACGCUGGCGGCGUGCUUAACACAUGCAAGUCGAACGGUGAUCUUGGGAGCUUGCUCCUGGGUGAUCAGUGGCGAACGGGUGAGUAACACGUGAGUAACCUGCCCCGGACUCUGGGAUAACUUCGGGAAACCGGAGCUAAUACCGGAUAUGACCCUCGCCUGCAUGGGCUGGGGGUGGAAAGUUUUUCGGUCUGGGAUGGGCUCGCGGCCUAUCAGCUUGUUGGUGAGGUAGUGGCUCACCAAGGCGACGACGGGUAGCCGGCCUGAGAGGGCGACCGGCCACACUGGGACUGAGACACGGCCCAGACUCCUACGGGAGGCAGCAGUGGGGAAUAUUGCACAAUGGGCGCAAGCCUGAUGCAGCGACGCCGCGUGAGGGAUGACGGCCUUCGGGUUGUAAACCUCUUUCAGCAGGGAAGAAGCGUGAGUGACGGUACCUGCAGAAGAAGCACCGGCUAACUACGUGCCAGCAGCCGCGGUAAUACGUAGGGUGCGAGCGUUGUCCGGAAUUAUUGGGCGUAAAGAGCUUGUAGGCGGUUUGUCGCGUCUGCUGUGAAAAUCCGGGGCUCAACCCCGGACUUGCAGUGGGUACGGGCAGACUAGAGUGUGGUAGGGGAGACUGGAAUUCCUGGUGUAGCGGUGGAAUGCGCAGAUAUCAGGAGGAACACCGAUGGCGAAGGCAGGUCUCUGGGCCACUACUGACGCUGAGAAGCGAAAGCAUGGGGAGCGAACAGGAUUAGAUACCCUGGUAGUCCAUGCCGUAAACGUUGGGCGCUAGGUGUGGGGCUCAUUCCACGAGUUCCGUGCCGCAGCUAACGCACUAAGCGCCCCGCCUGGGGAGUACGGCCGCAAGGCUAA